GCGGCGGACGGGUGAGUAAUGCCUAGGAAUCUGCCUAGUGGUGGGGAUAACGUUCGGAAACGGACGCUAAUACCGCAUACGUCCUACGGGAGAAAGCGGGGAUCUUCGGACCUCGCGCCAUUAGAUGAGCCUAGGUCGGAUUAGCUAGUUGGUGAGGUAAUGGCUCACCAAGGCGACGAUCCGUAACUGGUCUGAGAGGAUGAUCAGUCACACUGGAACUGAGACACGGUCCAGACUCCUACGGGAGGCAGCAGUGGGGAAUAUUGGACAAUGGGCGAAAGCCUGAUCCAGCCAUGCCGCGUGUGUGAAGAAGGUCUUCGGAUUGUAAAGCACUUUAAGUUGGGAGGAAGGGCAGUAAGUUAAUACCUUGCUGUUUUGACGUUACCAACAGAAUAAGCACCGGCUAACUUCGUG
RNAcentral lists this ribosomal RNA (414 nucleotides) under uncultured bacterium. RNAcentral's name for it is "bacterial SSU rRNA". It matches the Rfam family "Bacterial small subunit ribosomal RNA", at positions 95 to 507 of the family's 1533-position model. The record is from RNAcentral.